This 1206-nucleotide ribosomal RNA is filed under the name metagenome. Its description in RNAcentral is "bacterial SSU rRNA". It matches the Rfam family "Bacterial small subunit ribosomal RNA", at positions 289 to 1520 of the family's 1533-position model. The record is from RNAcentral.
GGACUGAGAGGUUGAACGGCCACAUUGGGACUGAGACACGGCCCAGACUCCUACGGGAGGCAGCAGUGCGGAAUAUUGCACAAUGGGGGAAACCCUGAUGCAGCGACGCCGCGUGGAGGAAGAAGGUCUUCGGAUUGUAAACUCCUGUUGUUGGGGAAGAUAAUGACGGUACCCAACAAGGAAGUGACGGCUAACUACGUGCCAGCAGCCGCGGUAAAACGUAGGUCACAAGCGUUGUCCGGAAUUACUGGGUGUAAAGGGAGCGCAGGCGGGAAGACAAGUUGGAAGUGAAAUCUAUGGGCUCAACCCAUAAACUGCUUUCAAAACUGUUUUUCUUGAGUAGUGCAGAGGUAGGCGGAAUUCCCGGUGUAGCGGUGGAAUGCGUAGAUAUCGGGAGGAACACCAGUGGCGAAGGCGGCCUACUGGGCACCAACUGACGCUGAGGCUCGAAAGUGUGGGUAGCAAACAGGAUUAGAUACCCUGGUAGUCCACACCGUAAACGAUGAUUACUAGGUGUUGGAGGAUUGACCCCUUCAGUGCCGCAGUUAACACAAUAAGUAAUCCACCUGGGGAGUACGACCGCAAGGUUGAAACUCAAAGGAAUUGACGGGGGCCCGCACAAGCAGUGGAGUAUGUGGUUUAAUUCGACGCAACGCGAAGAACCUUACCAAGUCUUGACAUCCCUUGACAGACAUAGAAAUAUGUAAUCUCUUCGGAGCAAGGAGACAGGUGGUGCAUGGUUGUCGUCAGCUCGUGUCGUGAGAUGUUGGGUUAAGUCCCGCAACGAGCGCAACCCUUAUGGUCAGUUACUACGCAAGAGGACUCUGGCCAGACUGCCGUUGACAAAACGGAGGAAGGUGGGGAUGACGUCAAAUCAUCAUGCCCUUUAUGACUUGGGCUACACACGUACUACAAUGGCGUUAAACAAAGAGAAGCAAGACCGCGAGGUGGAGCAAAACUCAGAAACAACGUCCCAGUUCGGACUGCAGGCUGCAACUCGCCUGCACGAAGUCGGAAUUGCUAGUAAUCGUGGAUCAGCAUGCCACGGUGAAUACGUUCCCGGGCCUUGUACACACCGCCCGUCACACCAUGAGAGCCGGGGGGACCCGAAGUCGGUAGUCUAACCGCAAGGAGGACGCCGCCGAAGGUAAAACUGGUGAUUGGGGUGAAGUCGUAACAAGGUAGCCGUAGGAGAACCUGCGGCUG